Doryrhamphus excisus (bluestripe pipefish) is the source of this 8800-nucleotide non-coding RNA. The record is from RefSeq and is a predicted model, not a curated record. Lineage: Eukaryota; Metazoa; Chordata; Actinopteri; Syngnathiformes; Syngnathidae.
CACAGCCUGGGUGUCGGCCUGUUGUGCACUCGAUACAAAGGAUACGUCCAUCAGAGCUAUCAUGCUCCUGCAGCUCUCCAGGCUGAAGCCCUCCGUGCUCAGGCUCUUGUCUGGAGGAGGCGGAGGGACACGGCUCGCCGUCAUGCUUCCGACUUUCCGACUUUCCGCAACCAACACCUUACCUGAACCCGACUCACGUUUGGUGAUCACUCUGUUGAGAACGUUCCGGAGUUCGUUGGCUGCGAUUUCCAUGUCCUGUAAAAGUCACAAGGAGUUAUUGCGUCAGUCAUGAAAACUGCCCCCUCUUUCGCCCCCUCCUGCACUCACGUCGCCGGCUAUCUCCUGAAAAAUCGUCCUGAACUGCUGGUCGUCCUCGCUCUCCUCGCCUGCUGAGGCCGGCGCUGGCUGAGAGGUCACGGGGUCACGCAGUUGAAGCAACAACAUGUGGACAUCAAGUUGGUGAGAAGGUGUGCACUCCAUAUAUUCGCAACAUCUGCACUUUUACUUUCACUUUCUGACCCUUUUUGCAUGAAUUGGAUGGAGUCUACAGGUCUACAGGAGUUAAAGAACCGGACUCACCACAGGAUGGUCGGCCUCAAUCCUGUUCUCUAUCUCCCUGAGAGAAGACGAAUAAACAGCGGUCACCACGAGAAGACCCGCAGGAUGAACUCGCCCUCCUGGUGCGGCUCGUAAGUGGAGGGAACGAUGACGUACUCGCCGGGACUCAGCCGGAAGCGCUGCGUGACCUCGCGGAGGUUGAUGUAGGACUUGCAGCGGGCUUUGGACGAGCUGAAGAGGAAGAAGUCUUUGGGCAUGUGCUGCUUGUUGCCGUGCAUCUGAAAGAGGAUGGACAACCUCAUGGGACCACUGAUGGGACGUUCAAGAACCACAAGCCAGAAGUGUCCGGGGGGGACGUCCUUACCUCCUUUGGCACCUGGGGACAAACAGAGGAGACGGGUUAGGAUCUGACAGAAGUACAGAAGUGGACUGAGGCCAAAAUAAACGAAGACAUUAGUUAAAUUAAAUCCUGGAUUUGGUUCUGGAUUUGUACAAUUGGACCCGUGAAAGACUAUGGACUUUGGUGAUUGUUAACAACCCUGACUUAACCCCCCGGUCCGGCCUUCUCACAAAGGCCAACAAUUGAUGACUGAUGACCCAGAGUCCCGGAAACCCUGGGGCGACCUCAUUUACAUGCCAGUGGGACCCAUUUGAUGGGUGGCUACCCAGAGUUCCAGACCCCAGGUGAUGGUAAAUCCAUCAUUUUAUUCACUUUCAUCCCUCCAGCUCCAUGGUCAAUGGAGGACUGGAAGAAACCCCGACCAGAACCGAGAUUGUAGUGUCCAAUCAACAGUUCCAGACGUUCUGUUACAUCACCGAUUGGCUCGGUGUUGCCAACUCAGCGAUUUUGUAACUAGACCUGGCAACCCCGUUUGACGACAUAUUUUCUCAGAAGCAACUAGCAACGAAUCUAGUGACUUUGGGGAGUUUUCUGGUAUUUAGGGACUCAUAAGUGAGACACAUAUUGUUCACCAUUUUGUAUUUCACUGACCAACACCACCGUCCCGCCCAAAGACGGUCACAAGGCGGCAGUGUAGAGUCAGUUUCCGCAGCACACUGUCUGGAUAAAAGUGUUUGUAUUUAUUAUCUUAUCUUAUUAUUUUUUAAUUCUUGGGAUAAAUAUAUUUGAUAAACCAGAAGAGUGUGCUACUCACAAACCACACCGGAAAAAAAACAAUAUUCACUGUUCAGUUGUGUAAAUAAAAAAAACAGUUGUCAAUAGCCUCAAUUUAAUGAAGGUGCUUUUGUCUCCUACAAUGUAGGAGAUGGCGGAAGAUGGCGCCAUCUAGGGACUUCUACAACAGCCAAUAGCUAUUUUUCUAACUGGACAGUUACAACAUCAUAUGCAAAUCGGAAGAUGGCGUCAUCUAGCGACUUCUACAACAACCAAUAGUUAUUUUUAUUACUGGACAUUUACAACAUCAUAUGCAAAUCGGAAAAUGGCGCCAGCUAGCGACUUCUACAACAGCCAAUAGCUAUUUUUCUUACUGGACAUUUACAACAUCAUAUGCAAAUCAGAAGAUGGCGUCAUCAAGCGACUUCUACAACAACCAAUAGUUAUUUUUAUUACUGGACAUUUACAACGUCAUAUGCAAAUCGGAAAAUGGCGUCAGCUAGCGACUUCUACAACAGCCAAUAGCUAUUUUUCUUACUGGACAUUUACAACAUCAUAUGCAAAUCGGAAAAUGGCGUCGUCCAGCGACGUCUACAACAACCAAUAGCUAUUUUUAUUACUGGACAUUUACAACAUCGUAUGCAAACCAGAAGAUGGCGUCAUCUAGCGACUUCUACAACAACCAACAACUAUUUUUCUUACUGUUUCAGUGGACUGGCUGCCGAGUCCAGCCGACAUGCCGGGCUAAGGUUUACAUACCAUGACCGAGAUCGACUGGAAAAAAGGUUCUCCUGUCAAAAGCAGUGCCUUGCCCAGACCCUAGCUCCAGUGGCCCCCAGCCUUACCAGGGUAGUUCCUGCAACCUCCAGCGGAGCAGCCUCUCACCCAGCGGCCUUCAUUCACCGACACGGUCCAUUUGUGGAUCUUGUCGUCCUCCAGGGCGUCAGGCGUCAGGUUGCAGAUCUCAAUCUUGGUGUAGUUCUUUUUGAAGUCCUCGAAGGACAUCCUGUAGGGACGCAGAGAAGUUCAGUUGGAAUCUUGUGAUGCCGUCUUGCCAUGCAGCUAUCACGACCCUGUCUAACGGAUGAACCGGGGAUCCGAUCAAAUACUCUCCAGCUGCGACACGAGUCAAGUUACACCGGAAUUGUAUUUUGUGAUGUCACCAUUACCAGAACUCUCCGUCCUCAGCACUCUGGUGUUGGAGCUUCUCCUUCUCAGCCUUGGACAGUGCAGCCCAUUCCUUGGAACUGAAGGAAAACCGGGGAAACCGUAAGAAUACCAGAAAGUCCAGAGUCCGGGUCUCUAAGGCUGCAUUUACACUACCAGUCUAAACACCCAGAGCCUUCGCCACAUGGAACAAAUUACAAACCCCCCCCCCCUCCCCAUGUACUGUAGAUCAGUGAUUUUCAACCACUGUGCCGCGGCACAAUAGUGUGCCUUGAGAAAUUGUCAGGUGUGCCGUGAGGAAUUAUCACUUAUAACUUUUUAUAAUUAACAUUUAUUAAUCAUCAUUUGCAAAUAUUAUGUCAAUAUCCACGUAUACGUGGACCCAAAUAUUCCAAUUGCAUUUGGUUUACCUUUGUAUACGCCUCAUUCCGAAAGAAUAGUGCCAAUCCCAAUGAAUAUAUAAUGGGAUUAACAGGGGUGGAAUAUUCCUUUCCCCAAUCCGAUCGAGGUAUCUUGUAGCCGCUCAAACGGAAAGUUGUCAGGGUGCGUUCUUCUUCUUCUGUUGUUUAUUGGCGGUUGGCAAGCAGCUUUGAUGUGCAUUAGCGCCAUCUGUGGAACAGAAUUUAAACCCUUCUAUACGCCAUUCAUAAGUCCAUAAGUCAAAAGAAAAUAUAUAUCUAUAUAAAACAUGUACCCAGUUGAAUUAUAAAAUAUUAGCAAGAUUGAAUUUGAUCCUUUCCUGGUUAAAUUUAUCAUAUCGCAUGCUCAGAUAUGACGUAACACGCAGAUCCAGACGUUCUUCACUUUUAAAAAUGGAGGCCAGCAAUCGGCACUGGACUGCUACGGAAAGUUUGUUUUUGAUCCAAACUAAAUUCCAAGACUGGACAAACGAAAAACUGGCAAUACGGAAUUAUUCCAACAAGUGAAAGAACAACUCGGGGAAGUCGGUAUCACGUGAUGUUGAUGUUUACGUUUUACUGGGCAUGCCCCAUUGACUAUUCUGGUUGAUUAUAGCGACGCAUGUAGACAAGAGAUUGGAAUAUUCCUUUCCAUGUAUACCAUUGUUUCCGGAAAAGUCAUUCGGAAAGAGAAAAACUCCUCAUGUAAACAUGGCUACUGUGGAGUGUCUGUGGUGUAAAGACUGGCAUAGCAAUGUAAUAUUGGUCCGUGUGGCAACACCUAGCUCAUUCCUCCUAUAGACUUAGUGAUGUUUUCCAAUGUAAAAAAAACGUGCCGUGGCUCAAAAAAGGUUGAAAAACACUGGUGUAGAUGCAGCCAAAAUCCAUGAAAUGUUCAAGUAAGGAUGCUGACUUGUCGCUCCAGGGUCCGUUCCACUCCACUUGGCCCCAAGGGUUCCUGAGACGCACCAGACGCACUUUGGACUCUCGGUGCUGCGAGGGCCGACACUGCCGCACAAAGUUUGAUUGUCACCUGUUUGUGUGUGUCUUCACCCCGGUUUGAGUCAUUUACCUCUUCUACUGCCGUCACCGAGUAGGCGUGACCCUUCACCAGGCCUGUGGCGGUUCGAGUCUCAAAGCGAGCCGGGACGAGGGACUGCGGAAGACCAUAGAAUUGCCCGUCUGGUUGUGACCCUAGCAUGCUAACAAAAUGUGUUCAGGUUGGACACUCACAUCAAUGGAGCAGCCCAUGAGGGAUCCUCUCUCCAGGGCCUUCUUCAUGAUCUUGUAGAGCUCCUUGGGGGCCUCCUUCAGCUCGUAGAACUCAGUGACGCCUCCGGUGAAGUCCUCCAUGGCUUCCGUGGUGUUUCCACCCUUCAGGGCCUCGUAAGAGCCAUGAAGCCUGGACAGGAUGGUGCAGUCCAACUACUCCAAAGGUUAGUUCCACGUACUUCAUGUUAGGAAAAGGAGGAUUCUGGUUUGCUGACUCACUUGGCAUAGGCCUUCUCCAGCAAGGCGCUCCAGAACUCGUUCCUCUCCGCCGACUUGGUGAAAACCAGCUGGUUGUUGAAGGUCGGGAUGCGGUCGUCGAUGACCACAUCCACCCAGUCGCCGUAGCGCCAGAACUGGCAGAAGAACAUGAUGAAUUGAAUUGAAAGAAGCCGAUAGAUCAGCCCUACCCACCUGGAAGUGGAAGAUCCCAGCAUAUUCCUGUGAGAAGCUCUGCUCCGGAGGAACCACUCUGUAGAGGAGCUUCUCGUUGAGGGUGAGGCAGGCGAUGGCGGCCAGCAACCAGCAAUCACCUGCACGCAACAACUAACGUGAGAUGACCUCGGGUGGCCGGGUCGGAGGCGGUCCCUUCAGGGGAACUUUUCGGUUGGUUGUUUGUCCGCACAACAUUCCAAAGUCUCCCAACGCACUUUUUGUGCCUUUGCUGCUCUUCAUUGACGUGCUCAACAAUGAGAAGUGCUGCUGGAUGGAUUCCCUUCCAAAAGAGGAAGCACAAUGCGGAGAGGCCACAGUCGGCCGAGAGGCCGCAUGCGGGAGGGGAGUCGGGAAUGCCGUUACGUUUCCCCAAAAUAUGCCUAAAUAUCCUGACCGGAUAUUACAUCACGCCUUCACACACUCAUCGUACACAAUGUGCCACCAAAACAACAACAUGAUAGCAUGUGACGGAAAAGGCAACACGGACUACAAACAUGGUGGACAGUCAUUGCUUUAAAAACAUACUUUUUGCCACUAUACAUUCUAUCAUACAGGCCGCACGGUGGUUGAGUGGUUAGCAUGUAGUCACAGUCAGGAGAUGGGUUGGAAUCUCUGUCGGCCAUCUCUGUGUGGAGUUUGCAUGUUCUCGGCUUGCGUGUGCGGCUUUUCUCCGAGUACUCCCCCCCCCCGUGCCAAAAACAUGCUAGCAUGUUAGCUUCAUUGUCCACUCCAAAUUGUCCAUAGGUAUGAAUGUGAGUGUGAAUGGUUGUUUGUCUAUAUGUGCCCUGUGAUUGGCUGGCCACCAGUCCGGGGUGGACCCCGCCUCUCGCCCCAAGUCAGCUGGGAUAGGCUCCAGCAUAAGCGGCAUAGAAGAUGAAUGAAUGGAUGAAUGAAUGGAUGAAUGGAUGGACACUAUGAUAUAGUAAUUGCCAGUAAAAGACACAUCAUACUAUCCCAAAAAUGGCUCCAUUAUUUUGAUCACAAAAAAAUAUUCAAAAACAAAAAAAAAGUUCAAAAACAAAUAGUCGUACUCACCAAGAUCUCCCUGGCAGAUGUCGGUGCGACUGGCCCCCCCAACGAUGAACUGAGGGUUCUCGCUUAUUUCCUGGCCAAACGCAAACAAGUGGUGGCGAAUGAUUGAUGUGUAAUCAAUAGGAAGCAUGCGAUCACACUACACACUACAGCUUCAUUAAUGUCGUUACAUAACUACAGCCCACGUGACGCUAAUUAUCGGACCGCUUCGCUCUCUUAGAAAUCAUAACAUCUCAUUCACGAUUGCUUUGGUUUUAUUUCAUUGAACGAUUUGACCUUUAGCUUUAGCUUUAGCUUCGUAGUAUAUGAGUAACAUGAACACGACGUUUAUAUCAGUUUACUGCAUGAUUAACAUGCUUAUAAGGGUUUAUUAUAUCAUUAGUACAUUGUUUGUAGGAGUUAAUUAUGUUUAUUAUGACUAUUAACAGUUUAUACAAGUUGAUUAUACCACAAACGUUUGGAAGAGUUUAUUUGGAUGGGUUUAUUAUGUUUUAUUUACAUGUUUUUAACGGUUUAUUAUAUGCUUAUUAACUCAUACAAUACCAAAUAUAAUCCCGAAUGCCCAAUCCCAAUAACGUAUUCAUACGUGUUUUAGAACUGAUGAUGUAACUCUCCACUAAUUACCACUAAUGACUUUGAAGUCAUAAAAAGGGCCACAAGGGGGCAGAGGUGCAUUCGAUGAUCUCGGCAAACUUGGAUGGGGAAAAAAAGUCACAUGACAGGAAGGAGGAAGAAAAAGAGUGGAGGAGUGUAGCGUGCAGAAGGUUAGGCAUUUUGGGGAAUUUUUUUAAUGCAUGCAGUUCACUUCCAAAUGGGAAAACUGUAAACAGUUCAUGGUGUUAUUUUUAUAAAUGAAUUAUAAUUAUGAUUAAAAACACAUUUAUGUUGGUAGAGGCGUUUAGAUAUUUCCGCUGUCACAAAAGCAAAUAGUAUUUGUGUAUCUUUUGACAAAAAACUUUUUUAGUUGGGAACUGAUAUUUUCCUGAAACUUAUCUAUGUUCUAUUGUUGAUUAUUGAAGAGCAGAAAAAGAUAGAAACAAACAUUUUCUUUCUGUUGAAAGAUAGGCGUCUUAUCCUCCUUUUGGUGGGUUCCAUGUGUGUAUAGCCACGGGACACAAUAAUGUGUGUAGCUUGAAAGAUCAGACAAAGUUGCCGGCACUGAAGAGGUUGACUUUAGAAAAAUGUCGUUUAUGACAGGAUUAACCACUCUAAUCGUGAGUUAUUGUAAGGGUUUAUGGUAUGAUCAAUAAGAUAUUUCUAAAGGGUAUCCUCGUUGUAAAGCGGUACCCUCGCUUGACAGCGUCAUGUUUCCCUCAAGUGUCUCUGUGGACUUUGAUCUCCAUGCCAGAGCAGACCUACAACAGUCCCUGGUUAGGAUGGAGACAGACGGUCCUCCCGCCCAGGUCCAACAAUAACGUCCCGCCUCCCCCCACGGCACGUGCGGUCGAUCCCUGCAUCCUCCCUCCAUCCUCCUCCUACCUUGGGUCUCUUCCAGACGAUGUUUUUGACCUUGUUGGACUUGUGCCCGAGCUCCUUGAAGCCCAGCGACUCCACGCUGGCCGGGAAGGACUCGUCCUCAAAGAGGCUCUUCCUGUGGAGACAUUCCUGCUGGAGGACACUGAAGUCCUGGUUGUUGAAGCGCAGCGGCUUGUUCAAAGUGCCUUCCCCGUCCCUCCUCUCUCGCUCCCGGAUCAGCCGGUCACAGAAGAAGCCAGACGGUGUGUAGGGCAUCUCGUCCCGCUGUCACUCUCUCUGUCGUCAAAGUGAUUUUUUUAAAUGGCCUUUGCCACUUGGACUAAAGUUGACAAGCUAAAGAGCGCUGGCAUAAAUCCAAAGAGCAAACCCGUGAUUGGCUCCCUCGCGCAGUGAUGUGCCCUCCCCUCCGAACACUCGGAAAGAAGAGAUUCAGCCAACACGCAUUCACCUUUGCCCACACGUGCAUUGAACGCCACAUGUCACACACACACACACACACACGGCCAUUGGACCAAAGGGGGACAAUAGAUCUUCAUCAUUGUUGGGUGACACAAAGGCCAGCGGGCCACGCCGGAGGCCAUGUAAAGAGUGUCCGUUGGAUGCCCUGCCUCAGCAGAAGGCAUUCAACCGCUUCUCAAUGGAGCUCAGCGUCGAGCAGUCUCAGCAAGAACCGCCGCAGUGACGCCCCCGCGAGGAGCGGUGGCCAUUUUGGCCUUAACGUAUCCUCUAAUUGUCUACUAUACCGUACUUGCAGUUAGGGAACACUACAGCUCUAUUUACCCAGCAUCCAACUAUGACCUGCCUUCUGUGUACUUGUACGCGUGGACCAACCGACUGCGAUAAGUGAAUUUCCCCAAAGUAGGAUUCCUUAUAUUAAAUCAAAUAUUUUUGUUGUUUCAACAUAGAAAUGCUGUUUGCAACCUUUUUUAACAUUAGAUCCCCCAUAGACGUAAAAUAACACCUUUACACUCGUAUUACCCAACAUAGUACCUGCUAUAAAAGCCUGUUCGCUCAACAAACAUUACAGUAACAUUACUGACACCUAGUGACCACUAUAGGAUAUUACAUCACAUAAUAAAUGCCUUAUAUUGUAUUUGUAUUCUACUGCAUUCAGACAUUUUUAUGCUUGAAAAUGUUUCAUUUCGGCAAAAAGGAUGUAACAUUAGCUUAAUUAUGCAUAUGCUUUGACCAACAAUAGACCACAAAGCAUGAUUUAUUAAUAUAAAUCAGGGCUCGACAAUAACGGUGUACCGAUGGCCCGGGGCAAGUUAAAACAAAAUUGGGGCAAGUAAAUCCAUUCAGCGAUAUUCCCGUCGGGCAAGUGCACUUUGGCAUGCCAUACUGCCAAGAG